AAGGCAAGAUAGCAAGAGGAGUAUAUAGUAAGACCAAGCCCUCAUUUCAUUGGGCCCCUAAAAAUUUUAGAAUGUUUGGCCCCGUGACUUAUCGCCUCCCUCUAACCCCUGGGUAUACUUCUUUGCAUAAAAUCUUUCAUGUUUCCAUUAUUCAAAAGCAUCUCCACGAUCCAUCCCAUUAUAUUCCACGUCCAAGAGCCCCUAUCUAAGCAGACAACUCUUAUGCUGCAUAUCCU
Molecule: long non-coding RNA, 236 nt
Filed under: Carica papaya (papaya)
Lineage: Eukaryota; Viridiplantae; Streptophyta; Magnoliopsida; Brassicales; Caricaceae
Description: long non-coding RNA (CPAP_LNC009314)
Source: RNAcentral